GACGAACGCUGGCGGCGUGCUUGACACAUGCAAGUCGAACGGAAAGGCCCUGCUUUUGUGGGGUGCUCGAGUGGCGAACGGGUGAGUAACACGUGAGUAACCUGCCCUUGACUUUGGGAUAGCUUCAGGAAACUGGGGCUAAUACCGGAUAGGAGCUCCUGCUGCAUGGUGGGGGUUGGAAAGUUUCGGCGGUUGGGGAUGGACUCGCGGCUUAUCAGCUUGUUGGUGGGGUAGUGGCUUACCAAGGCUUUGACGGGUAGCCGGCCUGAGAGGGUGACCGGCCACAUUGGGACUGAGAUACGGCCCAGACUCCUACGGGAGGCAGCAGUGGGGAAUAUUGCACAAUGGGCGGAAGCCUGAUGCAGCAACGCCGCGUGCGGGAUGACGGCCUUCGGGUUGUAAACCGCUUUCGCCUGUGACGAAGCGUGAGUGACGGUAAUGGGUAAAGAAGCACCGGCUAACUACGUG
This 468-nucleotide ribosomal RNA is filed under the name uncultured bacterium. Its description in RNAcentral is "partial 16S ribosomal RNA". It matches the Rfam family "Bacterial small subunit ribosomal RNA", at positions 28 to 507 of the family's 1533-position model. The record is from RNAcentral.